CGGCGGACGGGUGAGUAAUGUCUCGGGAAACUGCCUGAUGGAGGGGGAUAACUACUGGAAACGGUAGCUAAUACCGCAUAACGUCUCAGGACCAAAGAGGGGGACCUUCAGGCCUCUUGCCAUCGGAUGUGCCCAGAUGGGAUUAGCUAGUAGGUGGGGUAACGGCUCACCUAGGCGACGAUCCCUAGCUGGUCUGAGAGGAUGACCAGCCACACUGGAACUGAGACACGGUCCAGACUCCUACGGGAGGCAGCAGUGGGGAAUAUUGCACAAUGGGCGCAAGCCUGAUGCAGCCAUGCCGCGUGUGUGAAGAAGGCCUUCGGGUUGUAAAGCACUUUCAGCGGGGAGGAAGGUGGUAAGGUUAAUACCUUUGCUCAUUGACGUUACCCGCAGAAGAAGCACCGGCUAACUCCGUGCCAGCAGCCGCGGUAAUACGGAGGGUGCAAGCGUUAAUCGGAAUUACUGGGCGUAAAGCGCACGCAGGCGGUUUGUUAAGUCAGAUGUGAAAUCCCCGGGCUCAACCUGGGAACUGCAUUUGAUACUGGCAAGCUAGAGUCUCGUAGAGGGGGGUAGAAUUCCAGGUGUAGCGGUGAAAUGCGUAGAGAUCUGGAGGAAUACCGGUGGCGAAGGCGGCCCCCUGGACUAACACUGACGCUCAUGUGCGAAAGCGUGAGGAGCAAACAGGAUUAGAUACCCUGGUAGUCCACGCCGUAAACGAUGUCGACUUGGAGGUU
Molecule: ribosomal RNA, 734 nt
Filed under: soil bacterium Cipr-S1T-M1LLLSSL-3
Lineage: Bacteria
Description: bacterial SSU rRNA
Rfam family: Bacterial small subunit ribosomal RNA
Source: RNAcentral